RNAcentral lists this ribosomal RNA (391 nucleotides) under uncultured bacterium. RNAcentral's name for it is "bacterial SSU rRNA". It matches the Rfam family "Bacterial small subunit ribosomal RNA", at positions 28 to 420 of the family's 1533-position model. The record is from RNAcentral.
GACGAACGCUGGCGGCGUGCUUAACACAUGCAAGUCGAGCGGUAAGGCCCUUUCGGGGGUACACGAGCGGCGAACGGGUGAGUAACACGUGGGUGACCUGCCCUCAGCUCUGGGAUAAGCCUGGGAAACCGGGUCUAAUACUGGAUAUGACUCCAUGACGCAUGUUGUGGGGUGGAAAGCCUUGUGCGGCUGAGGAUGGGCCCGCGGCCUACCAGCUUGUUGGUGGGGUGAUGGCCUACCAAGGCGACGACGGGUAGCCGGCCUGAGAGGGCGACCGGCCACACUGGGACUGAGACACGGCCCAGACUCCUACGGGAGGCAGCAGUGGGGAAUCUUGCGCAAUGGGCGAAAGCCUGACGCAGCGACGCCGCGUGAGGGAUGACGGCCUGGU